GCAUAUCAAUAAGCGGAGGAAAAGAAACCAACAGGGAUUGCCCUAGUAACGGCGAGUGAACAGGCAAGAGCUCAGAUUUGAAAGGCACUUUUGUGCCGUUGUAUUCUGAAGUUAGGGUCCUGAGAAACGAUGCUUAAGUCUUCUGGAAAGGAGCGCCAUGGAGGGUGAUAGCCCCGUCUAGCAUUGACCUCAUAUAGGAUCUUAACAUGGAGUCGAGUUGUUUGGGAAUGCAGCUCAAAUGGGUGGUAUGCUCCAUCUAAAGCUAAAUAUCUGCGAGAGACCGAUAGUAAACAAGUACUGUGAGGGAAAGAUGAAAAGAACUUUGAAAAGAGAGUGAAAAAGUACGUGAAAUUGUUGAAAUGGAAGGGUAGGCCGCUAACCAUGUAGAGCCGUGUUUGGGGGGAAGAUAAAUGCUGUAGAAUGUAGCUCCUCGGAGUAUUAUAGAUGCAGUUCAUAUUCCCACCCGAGCGCGAGGAUCUCAGGUUCUACUAAAUGGUGGUCUACCACCCGUCUUGAAACACGGACCAAGGAGUCUAUUGUCUGCGCGAGUAUUUGGGUGUCAAACCCAUAUGCGAAGUGAAAGCGAAAGGUUCUAACCUUCGGGUUCAGAAUCGGCCGACCGUUUAUAGAAGCGGAUUGAGUAGAGCGUGGAUGAUGGGACCCGAAAGAUGGUGAACUAUGCCUGAAUAGGGUGAAGCCAGAGGAAACUCUGGUGGAGGCUCGCAGCGGUUCUGACGUGCAAAUCGAUCGUCAAAUUUGGGUAUAGGGGCGAAAGACUAAUCGAACCAUCUAGUAGCUGGUUCCUGCCGAAGU
This 813-nucleotide ribosomal RNA is filed under the name Starmerella bacillaris. RNAcentral describes it as "LSU rRNA". It matches the Rfam family "Eukaryotic large subunit ribosomal RNA", at positions 38 to 967 of the family's 3401-position model. Lineage: Eukaryota; Fungi; Ascomycota; Dipodascomycetes; Dipodascales; Trichomonascaceae. The record is from RNAcentral.